CGCGGGCUACCAUGCAGUCGAGCGCCCCGCAGGGGGAGCGGCAGACGGGUGAGUAACGCGUGGGAAUCUACCCAUCACUACGGAACAACUCCGGGAAACCGGAGCUAAUACCGUAUACGUCCUUCGGGAGAAAGAUUUAUCGGUGAUGGAUGAGCCCGCGUUGGAUUAGCUAGUUGGUGGGGUAAUGGCCUACCAAGGCGACGAUCCAUAGCUGGUCUGAGAGGAUGAUCAGCCACACUGGGACUGAGACACGGCCCAGACUCCUACGGGAGGCAGCAGUGGGGAAUAUUGGACAAUGGGCGCAAGCCUGAUCCAGCCAUGCCGCGUGAGUGAUGAAGGCCCUAGGGUUGUAAAGCUCUUUCAACGGUGAAGAUAAUGACGGUAACCGUAAAAAAAGCCCCGGCUAACUUCGUGCCAGACCCCGGGGAAAAUAAA
Molecule: ribosomal RNA, 435 nt
Filed under: uncultured bacterium
Lineage: Bacteria
Description: bacterial SSU rRNA
Rfam family: Bacterial small subunit ribosomal RNA
Source: RNAcentral